UACGGGGGGUGCGAGCGUUGUCCGGAAUCACUGGGCGUAAAGGGCGCGUAGGUGGUCUGAUAAGGGUGUGGUGAAAGCCCGGGGCUCAACCCCGGGUCGGCCGUGCCGACUGUUAGACUAGAGUACUGUAGGGGCAGGCGGAAUUCCGGGUGUAGCGGUGGAAUGCGUAGAGAUCCGGAAGAACACCGGUGGCGAAGGCGGUCUGCUGGGCAGUAGCUGACACUGAGGCGCGACAGCGUGGGGAGCAAACAGG
Molecule: ribosomal RNA, 253 nt
Filed under: uncultured bacterium
Lineage: Bacteria
Description: partial 16S ribosomal RNA
Rfam family: Bacterial small subunit ribosomal RNA
Source: RNAcentral